AGUGAACGCUGGCGGUAGGCCUAACACAUGCAAGUCGAACGGCAGCACAGUAAGAGCUUGCCCUUACGGGUGGCGAGUGGCGGACGGGUGAGGAAUACAUCGGAAUCUACUUUUUCGUGGGGGAUAACGUAGGGAAACUUACGCUAAUACCGCAUACGACCUACGGGUGAAAGCAGGGGAUCUUCGGACCUUGCGCGAUUGAAUGAGCCGAUGUCGGAUUAGCUAGUUGGCGGGGUAAAGGCCCACCAAGGCGACGAUCCGUAGCUGGUCUGAGAGGAUGAUCCGCCACACUGGAACUGAGACACGGUCCAGACUCCUACGGGAGGCAGCAGUGGGGAAUAUUGGACAAUGGGCGCAAGCCUGAUCCAGCCAUACCGCGUGGGUGAAGAAGGCCUUCGGGUUGUAAAGCCCUUUUGUUGGGAAAGAAAAGCAGCAGGUUAAUACCCCGCUGUUCUGACGGUACCCAAAGAAUAAGCACCGGCUAACUUCGUG
RNAcentral lists this ribosomal RNA (492 nucleotides) under uncultured bacterium. Its description in RNAcentral is "partial 16S ribosomal RNA". It matches the Rfam family "Bacterial small subunit ribosomal RNA", at positions 29 to 507 of the family's 1533-position model. The record is from RNAcentral.